CCUACGGGUGGCAGCAGUGAGGAAUAUUGGUCAAUGGGCGCGAGCCUGAACCAGCCAAGUCGCGUGAGGGAAGACGGUCCUAUGGAUUGUAAACCUCUUUUGUCGGGGAGCAAAAGACGCCACGCGUGGCGUUCCGAGAGUACCCUAAGAACAAGCAUCGGCUAACUCCGUGCCAGCAGCCGCGGUACUACGGAGGAUGCGAGCGUUAUCCGGAUUUAUUGGGUUUAAAGGGUGCGCAGGCGGAAGAUCAAGUCAGCGGUAAAAUUGAGAGGCUCAACCUCUUCGAGCCGUUGAAACUGGUGUUCUUGAGUGAGUGAGAAGUAUGCGGAAUGCGUGGUGUAGCGGUGAAAUGCAUAGAUAGCACGCAGAACUCCGAUUGCGAAGGCAGCAUACCGGCGCUCAACUGACGCUCAUGCACGAAAGUGUGGGUAUCGAACAGGAUUAGAUACCCUAGUAGUC
This 459-nucleotide ribosomal RNA is filed under the name uncultured bacterium. RNAcentral's name for it is "partial 16S ribosomal RNA". It matches the Rfam family "Bacterial small subunit ribosomal RNA", at positions 338 to 795 of the family's 1533-position model. The record is from RNAcentral.